Molecule: transfer RNA, 77 nt
Filed under: bacterium
Lineage: Bacteria
Also listed under: 2 other names
Description: tRNA-Val
Rfam family: tRNA
About the family: Transfer RNA (tRNA) molecules are approximately 80 nucleotides in length. Their secondary structure includes four short double-helical elements and three loops (D, anti-codon, and T loops).
Source: RNAcentral
GGGCUUGUAGCUCAGUUGGUUAGAGCGCUACGUUGACAUCGUAGAGGUCCGCAGUUCGAGUCUGCGCAAGCCCACCA